Molecule: ribosomal RNA, 254 nt
Filed under: uncultured bacterium
Lineage: Bacteria
Description: partial 16S ribosomal RNA
Rfam family: Bacterial small subunit ribosomal RNA
Source: RNAcentral
UACGUAGGGUGCGAGCGUUGUCCGGAAUUACUGGGCGUAAAGAGCUCGUAGGUGGUUUGUCGCGUCGUCUGUGAAAUUCCGGGGCUUAACCUCGGGCGUGCAGGCGAUACGGGCAAUACUUGAGUGCUGUAGGGGAGACUGGAAUUCCUGGUGUAGCGGUGGAAUGCGCAGAUAUCAGGAGGAACACCGAUGGCGAAGGCAGGUCUCUGGACAGUAACUGACGCUGAGGAGCGAAAGCAUGGGUAGCGAACAGG